This 112-nucleotide non-coding RNA is filed under the name Rhodococcus pyridinivorans. Its description in RNAcentral is "SAM-IV sequence". It matches the Rfam family "SAM (S-adenosyl methionine) riboswitch aptamer". Rfam says of the family: SAM-IV is a mRNA element that regulates gene expression via direct sensing of S-adenosylmethionine (SAM or AdoMet). SAM-IV riboswitches share conserved nucleotide positions with the previously described SAM-I riboswitches sequence analysis and molecular recognition experiments suggest that SAM-I and SAM-IV riboswitches share similar ligand binding sites, but have different scaffolds. Lineage: Bacteria; Bacillati; Actinomycetota; Actinomycetes; Mycobacteriales; Nocardiaceae. The record is from RNAcentral.
AGUCAUGAGUGCCAGCGUCAAGCCCCGGCUUGCUGGCCGGCAACCCUCCGACCGGGGUGGGGUGCUCCGGGUGAUGACACGGUCGGUGGAACCCCACCGACAAGCCUGUUGU